Opisthocomus hoazin is the source of this 63-nucleotide non-coding RNA. NCBI's taxonomy places the organism in Eukaryota, Metazoa, Chordata, Aves, Opisthocomiformes, Opisthocomidae. The record is from Rfam.
CUGAGUCCAAUGGGUGAGGUGGGGCAGCGCCCUACAACCCAAUUCAGACUACUCUCCCCCGGA